RNAcentral lists this ribosomal RNA (484 nucleotides) under uncultured bacterium. RNAcentral's name for it is "partial 16S ribosomal RNA". It matches the Rfam family "Bacterial small subunit ribosomal RNA", at positions 29 to 507 of the family's 1533-position model. The record is from RNAcentral.
AUUGAACGCUGGCGGCAUGCUUUACACAUGCAAGUCGAACGGCAGCGCGGGCUUCGGCCUGGCGGCGAGUGGCGAACGGGUGAGUAAUGCAUCGGAACGUGCCCAGUAGUGGGGGAUAGCCCAGCGAAAGCCGGAUUAAUACCGCAUACGACCUGAGGGUGAAAGCGGGGGACCGAAAGGCCUCGCGCUAUUGGAGCGGCCGAUGUCGGAUUAGCUAGUUGGUGGGGUAAAGGCUUACCAAGGCGACGUUCCGUAGCUGGUCUGAGAGGACGACCAGCCACACUGGGACUGAGACACGGCCCAGACUCCUACGGGAGGCAGCAGUGGGGAAUUUUGGACAAUGGGGGCAACCCUGAUCCAGCCAUGCCGCGUGCGGGAAGAAGGCCUUCGGGUUGUAAAACGCUUUUGUUCGGGAAGAAAUACUCUGGGCUAAUACCCCGGGGGGAUGACGGUACCGGAAGAAUAAGCACCGGCUAACUACGUG